GGUGAAGCCCAGCUUGCUGGGUGGAUCAGUGGCGAACGGGUGAGUAACACGUGAGCAACCUGCCCCUGACUCUGGGAUAAGCGCUGGAAACGGCGUCUAAUACUGGAUACGAACCACAGUCGCAUGGCUCGUGGUUGGAAAGAUUUUUUGGUUGGGGAUGGGCUCGCGGCCUAUCAGCUUGUUGGUGAGGUAAUGGCUCACCAAGGCGUCGACGGGUAGCCGGCCUGAGAGGGUGACCGGCCACACUGGGACUGAGACACGGCCCAGACUCCUACGGGAGGCAGCAGUGGGGAAUAUUGCACAAUGGGCGCAAGCCUGAUGCAGCAACGCCGCGUGAGGGAUGACGGCCUUCGGGUUGUAAACCUCUUUUAGCAAGGAAGAAGCGAAAGUGACGGUACUUGCAGAAAAAGCGCCGGCUAACUACGUGCCAGCAGCCGCGGUAAUACGUAGGGCGCAAGCGUUAUCCGGAAUUAUUGGGCGUAAAGAGCUCGUAGGCGGUUUGUCGCGUCUGCUGUGAAAUCCCGAGGCUCAACCUCGGGUCUGCAGUGGGUACGGGCAGACUAGAGUGCGGUAGGGGAGAUUGGAAUUCCUGGUGUAGCGGUGGAAUGCGCAGAUAUCAGGAGGAACACCGAUGGCGAAGGCAGAUCUCUGGGCCGUAACUGACGCUGAGGAGCGAAAGGGUGGGGAGCAAACAGGCUUAGAUACCCUGGUAGUCCACCCCGUAAACGUUGGGAACUAGUUGUGGGGUCCUUUCCACGGAUUCCGUGACGCAGCUAACGCAUUAA
RNAcentral lists this ribosomal RNA (785 nucleotides) under uncultured Microbacteriaceae bacterium. RNAcentral describes it as "SSU rRNA". It matches the Rfam family "Bacterial small subunit ribosomal RNA", at positions 68 to 863 of the family's 1533-position model. The record is from RNAcentral. Lineage: Bacteria; Bacillati; Actinomycetota; Actinomycetes; Micrococcales; Microbacteriaceae.